This 21-nucleotide non-coding RNA is filed under the name Caenorhabditis elegans. The record is from RNAcentral. Lineage: Eukaryota; Metazoa; Nematoda; Chromadorea; Rhabditida; Rhabditidae.
UGCAGGGUUGGUUUUUUUAAU